This 442-nucleotide ribosomal RNA is filed under the name uncultured microorganism. RNAcentral describes it as "bacterial SSU rRNA". It matches the Rfam family "Archaeal small subunit ribosomal RNA", at positions 330 to 731 of the family's 1478-position model. The record is from RNAcentral.
GUGCACCAGGCGAGAAACCUCCGCAAUGCUCGAAAGAGCGACGGGGGGACUCCAAGUGCCUACGCUCAGCGUAGGCUGUUCCCGAGCCUAAAAAGCUCGGGGAGUAAGGGCUGGGUAAGACGGGUGCCAGCCGCCGCGGUAAUACCCGCAGCCCGAGUGGUGGCCGCUAUUAUUGGGCCUAAAGCGUCCGUAGCCGGCUCGGUAAAUGCCUGGGUAAAUCGUCUGGCCCAACCAGACGAAUUCCGGGUAGACUGCCGGGCUAGGGACCGGAGGAGGGAGAGGGUACUCCAGGGGUAGGGGUGAAAUCAGCAAGGUGAGUUGCUGAUGUAACUUGCCUUGCAAGUCACAAUCCUGUAAUCCCUGGAGGACCACCGGUGGCGAAGGCGCUCUCCUAGGACGGUCCGACGGUGAGGGACGAAAGCCAGGGGAGCAAACCGGAUUA